This 2070-nucleotide ribosomal RNA is filed under the name Triticum aestivum (bread wheat). RNAcentral's name for it is "partial small subunit ribosomal RNA". Lineage: Eukaryota; Viridiplantae; Streptophyta; Magnoliopsida; Poales; Poaceae. The record is from RNAcentral.
CAAUUGGCUACUUGCGCCCUACUCUUGCUUUACUCACCCGUCGGCCCUCCUUUAUAACAAGAUAUUGCAAAAGCGAGCCUCCCCCAAAACAGCGGCUCUCCCUCCCGAGCGCGACCUAGCCGCCGCCGCCGCCGCCACUCGCCGGCCGAAGCCUCCGCUGCCCCGCCGCCGGUACAGGAGCCUAGCAGCGCCUCCCUCCCUGGAGCAGGCGCUCCCACCCAGCAGAGCCGCCGCCGAGUCCAUAGCGGUGGUUCGGGAUCUAGCCAUGUCAACCAACAAGGGCGGAGGCGGAGGGAAGAAGAAGAAGGAGGUGAAGAAGGAAACAAAACUGGGGAUGGGGUACAAGAAGGAUGAUAACUUCGGGGAGUGGUAUUCUGAGGUUGUUGUUAACAGCGAAAUGAUUGAGUACUACGACAUCUCUGGUUGUUAUAUCUUGAGGCCUUGGGCGAUGGAAAUAUGGGAGUUGCUGAAAGAAUUUUUUGAUGCGGAAAUAAAAAAGUUGAAGCUGAAACCAUAUUAUUUCCCUUUGUUUGUUACGGAGAGUGUUCUGCAGAAGGAAAAAGACCAUAUUGAGGGCUUUGCCCCUGAGGUAGCGUGGGUUACUAAAUCAGGAAAAUCUGAUCUGGAAGCUCCUAUUGCAAUCCGUCCAACAAGUGAGACGGUCAUGUAUCCAUACUUCUCUAAAUGGAUAAGAAGCCACCGGGACUUACCUUUGAAGUGUAACCAGUGGUGCAAUGUUGUUAGAUGGGAGUUUAGCAAUCCAACUCCUUUCAUAAGGAGCCGUGAAUUUCUUUGGCAAGAAGGCCAUACAGUUUUUGCAACUAAAGAGGAGGCAGAUGAAGAGGUCCUCCAAAUAUUGGAACUCUACAGGAGAAUAUAUGAAGAAUUUUUAGCAGUUCCAGUGUCCAAAGGGAGGAAAAGUGAGAUGGAAAAGUUUGCUGGUGGACUUUAUACAACCAGUGUAGAGGCCUUCAUUCCAAAUACUGGCCGUGGUAUACAAGGUGCAACUUCACAUUGUCUUGGUCAAAACUUUGCAAAGAUGUUUGAUAUCACUUUCGAGAAUGAAAAGGGUGAACGGUCCAUGGUGUGGCAGAACUCUUGGGCAUACACUACCCGCUCGAUUGGGGUCAUGAUAAUGACACAUGGUGAUGACAAGGGCUUAGUGCUGCCACCAAAGGUGGCACCUAUCCAGGUCAUUGUUAUUCCUGUGCCAUUUAAAGAUGCUGACACAACAGCUAUUAAAGGGGCGUGCGAGUCGGCCGUUUACACCUUGAACCAAGCUGGGAUUCGAGCAGAUUUGGAUGCUCGUGAAAAUUACUCUCCAGGUUGGAAAUAUUCUCAAUGGGAAAUGAAAGGUGUUCCUUUGAGAAUAGAGAUAGGUCCAAAAGAUCUGGCAAACAAGCAGGUGCGUAUUGUCCGGCGAGACAAUGGUACAAAGGUUGAUAUUCCUUCAACCGACUUGGUUGAGCAGGUUAGAGUGUUGCUGGAUGGGAUUCAAGUAAACUUGUUGGAAACAGCGAAAGCAAAGAGAGACGCCUGCAUUAAAAUCAUCAGCACCUGGGAUGAAUUCAUAGCGGCUCUCAACGACAAAAAGUUGAUCUUGGCUCCAUGGUGUGAUGAAGAGGAGGUGGAGAAGGACGUGAAAGCUCGGACCAAAGGUGAACUUGGGGCUGCGAAAACAUUGUGUACUCCAUUUGACCAGCCAGAUCUUCCUUCCGGAACCGUGUGCUUUGCUUCCGGAAAGCCUGCUCAAAAGUGGUCAUUCUGGGGUCGCAGCUAUUGAUCUGUGUUCUGUCACCUUAUACAUUGGCAUUUUCGUGGAUCGUUUGCUCUGGCAAAGCUGUUUAUUUCUUAUAUAUACUACCUGAUUUUUGAGUAAUGCUUUCCUGUGAUACCUGUAACUGCGGAUUAGUUGUCCAUUUGCUAUUUCGUAAUGAUUGCAUGUUGAUCAGUUCGGUGUCGAGAAAUAUACAUUGUGUCAAUGUUGAGGAUAUCACUUAUCAUAAGCGUUUCGGUCUGCUGGGGAUUAGAGAUUGGCUAUUAAUCGAUUUUUGUGUGUGCAAAUUCCAG